This 472-nucleotide ribosomal RNA is filed under the name uncultured bacterium. RNAcentral describes it as "bacterial SSU rRNA". It matches the Rfam family "Bacterial small subunit ribosomal RNA", at positions 8 to 525 of the family's 1533-position model. The record is from RNAcentral.
AGGGUUUGAUUAUGGCUCAGAACGUACGCUGGCGGCACGCCUAACACAUGCAAGUCGAACGAAGUAGCAAUACUUAGUGGCAGACGGGUGAGUAACAUGUAGGUAUCUGCCCUUUGGCCUGGAAUAACACGAGGAAACUUGUGCUAAUACCGGAUAAGUCUUUACGGAGAAAGCUUUAUGCACCAUUGGAUGAGCCUGCACUUGAUUAGUUUGUUGGUGGGGUAAUGGCCUACCAAGACUGUGAUCAAUAGCUGAUUUGAGAGGAUGAUCAGCCACAUUGGGACUGAGACACGGCCCAAACUCCUACGGGAGGCAGCAGUGGGGAAUCUUGCACAAUGGAGGAAACUCUGAUGCAGCGAUGCCGCGUGAGUGAAGAAGGCCUUUGGGUUGUAAAGCUCUUUCGUCGGGGAAGAAAAUGACUGUACCCGAAUAAGAAGGUCCGGCUAACUUCGUGCCAGCCGCCGCGGUAAUA